GAGCACUAAGCUGCCUAAGCUCGCAAGUUCAGAAGUUCGGUAUUGUGGUAGACAUACGUAAUUCUCCAAGUGGAAGUCGUUGUACUUCUUAUUACCGGUGCGAUUGUCCACCAUUGCCUUAUGCCAGAGCGCCAGAACUUUGGUGUUGCUUUUUCGUCGUCACAGUCUACCAUUACGGCGAGCGCAAGGAGCUACCAAAAGUUUGACAGUCAUCACCGAGACAAGGCAGGUGCCUGCUGACACGUUGCACAUAGAGAAUCUCGGAUAGACAUAGUCCUCCCAAUUUUGUCGCCUUCAUUCGGGUCGACGUGACCCUAUGCUC
Molecule: long non-coding RNA, 322 nt
Organism: Rhipicephalus microplus (southern cattle tick)
Lineage: Eukaryota; Metazoa; Arthropoda; Arachnida; Ixodida; Ixodidae
Source: RefSeq, a predicted model, not a curated record